RNAcentral lists this ribosomal RNA (466 nucleotides) under uncultured bacterium. RNAcentral describes it as "partial 16S ribosomal RNA". It matches the Rfam family "Bacterial small subunit ribosomal RNA", at positions 28 to 506 of the family's 1533-position model. The record is from RNAcentral.
GAUGAACGCUGACAGAAUGCUUAACACAUGCAAGUCCACUUGAAUUUGGGUUUUUAACUUAGGUUUGGGUGGCGGACGGGUGAGUAACGCGUAAAGAACUUGCCUCACAGCUAGGGACAACAUUUGGAAACGAAUGCUAAUACCUAAUAUUAUGAUAAUAGGGCAUCCUAUAAUUAUGAAAGCUAUAAGCGCUGUGAGAGAGCUUUGCGUCCCAUUAGCUAGUUGGAGAGGUAACGGCUCACCAAGGCGAUGAUGGGUAGCCGGCCUGAGAGGGUGAUCGGCCACAAGGGGACUGAGACACGGCCCUUCCUCCUACGGGAGGCAGCAGGGGGGAAUAUUGGAAAAGGGACCGGGAGUCUGAUCCAGCAAUUCUGUGUGCACGAUGAAGUUUUUCGGAAUGAAAAGUGCUUUCAGUUGGGAAGAAACAAAUGACGGUACCAAAAGAAGAAGUGACGGCUAAAUACGU